AGCCAGUGUGGCAUAGUGGUUUGACUGUUGGACUUCAACUCUAGAGACCAGGGUUCAACUCCCUGUUAGGCUA
Non-coding RNA from Phrynosoma platyrhinos (Desert horned lizard), 73 nucleotides. NCBI's taxonomy places the organism in Eukaryota, Metazoa, Chordata, Lepidosauria, Squamata, Phrynosomatidae. The record is from the annotation of a GenBank genome assembly.